This 698-nucleotide small RNA is filed under the name Pongo abelii (Sumatran orangutan). RNAcentral's name for it is "retained intron". Lineage: Eukaryota; Metazoa; Chordata; Mammalia; Primates; Hominidae. The record is from RNAcentral.
AGCCCUUCAUGUCACCGCGCUUCCCAGGGGCCCCCCGCCCCACCCUGCGGAUGCCAAGUCAGGUGAGAAAGGGAUGAGGGGAGGGCGGGCAGGAGCUGGGCCGGGGAGGGAGCACCCCACACUCAGUGCCGCCGCACCCCCUCCGCAGCCUCCCGCAGGCCUCCCUGGCUCCCAGCCCCUCCUCCCUGGCACCAUGGAGCCCUCCCCACGAGCCCAGGGGCAUCCGAGCAUGGGCGGCCCAAUGCAGAGGGUGACGCCUCCUCGAGGCAUGGCCAGCGUGGGGCCCCAGGUAAGAGUGGAGCCCUGGUGGGUGGGGACUUCGGGCUGUCCCUGGUCUGCCCCUCACAGCCCCUUUGCCUCCGCAGAGCUAUGGAGGCGGCAUGCGACCCCCACCCAACUCCCUUGCCGGCCCAGGCCUGCCUGCCAUGAACAUGGGCCCAGGAGUUCGUGGCCCGUGGGCCAGCCCCAGUGGAAACUCGAUCCCCUACUCCUCCUCAUCCCCUGGCAGCUACACGGGACCCCCAGGAGGAGGUGGGCCCCCUGGAACACCCAUCAUGCCUAGCCCUGGAGAUUCCACCAACUCCAGCGAAAACAUGUACACUAUCAUGAACCCCAUCGGGCCGGGCGCCAGCAGGGCUAAUGUGAGUGGGGGCUUUCGGGGGUGCUUCUCGAGGCGGUGACCCUAGUUGGGGAAUGGG